This 72-nucleotide transfer RNA is filed under the name Schistocerca americana (American grasshopper). RNAcentral describes it as "tRNA-Pro". It matches the Rfam family "tRNA". From Rfam's summary of the family: Transfer RNA (tRNA) molecules are approximately 80 nucleotides in length. RNAcentral also lists the same sequence under 1 other name. Lineage: Eukaryota; Metazoa; Arthropoda; Insecta; Orthoptera; Acrididae. The record is from RNAcentral.
GGCUCGUUGGUCUAGGGGUAUGAUUCCUGCUUCGGGUGCAGGAGGUCCCGGGUUCAAAUCCCGAACGAGCCC